This 253-nucleotide ribosomal RNA is filed under the name uncultured bacterium. RNAcentral's name for it is "partial 16S ribosomal RNA". It matches the Rfam family "Bacterial small subunit ribosomal RNA", at positions 524 to 776 of the family's 1533-position model. The record is from RNAcentral.
UACGAAGGGGGCUAGCGUUGUUCGGAUUUACUGGGCGUAAAGCGCACGUAGGCGGAUCGAUCAGUCAGGGGUGAAAUCCCAGAGCUCAACUCUGGAACUGCCUUUGAUACUGUCGAUCUGGAGUAUGGAAGAGGUGAGUGGAAUUCCGAGUGUAGAGGUGAAAUUCGUAGAUAUUCGGAGGAACACCAGUGGCGAAGGCGGCUGCCUGGCCUGUAACUGACGCUGAGACGCGAAAGCGUGGGGAGCGAACCGG